UGUCCUCUUUGAUCUUGCUUUAGUGAAUUGGGUCAGAUCAGGAAUGAAGCAGCCCUAAAUUAAGGUUUGGGUGCUUAGAGGGUCGCA
This 87-nucleotide signal recognition particle RNA is filed under the name Candidatus Pacearchaeota archaeon. Its description in RNAcentral is "signal recognition particle sRNA small type". It matches the Rfam family "Bacterial small signal recognition particle RNA". From Rfam's summary of the family: The signal recognition particle (SRP) is a universally conserved ribonucleoprotein involved in the co-translational targeting of proteins to membranes. Lineage: Archaea; Nanobdellati. The record is from RNAcentral.